RNAcentral lists this ribosomal RNA (690 nucleotides) under uncultured bacterium. RNAcentral describes it as "bacterial SSU rRNA". It matches the Rfam family "Bacterial small subunit ribosomal RNA", at positions 32 to 715 of the family's 1533-position model. The record is from RNAcentral.
AACGCUAGCUACAGGCUUAACACAUGCAAGUCGAGGGGCAGCAUUAGGUAGCAAUACUGAGAUGGCGACCGGCGCACGGGUGCGUAACGCGUAUCCAACCUUCCCGUUACUCUUGGAUAGCCUUCCGAAAGGGAGAUUAAGACAGGAUGGUGUUUGAAUUCCGCAUGUUAUUCAAACUAAAGAUUUAUCGGUAACGGAUGGGGAUGCGUGACAUUAGGUAGAUGGCGGGGUAACGGCCCACCAUGCCCACGAUGUCUAGGGGUUCUGAGAGGAAGGUCCCCCACACUGGAACUGAGACACGGUCCAGACUCCUACGGGAGGCAGCAGUGAGGAAUAUUGGUCAAUGGUCGGAAGACUGAACCAGCCAAGUAGCGUGAAGGAUGAAGGUUCUAUGGAUUGUAAACUUCUUUUAUACGGGAAUAAAACCACCUACGUGUAGGUGCUUGUAUGUACCGUAUGAAUAAGCAUCGGCUAACUCCGUGCCAGCAGCCGCGGUAAUACGGAGGAUGCGAGCGUUAUCCGGAUUUAUUGGGUUUAAAGGGAGCGUAGACGGGAGAUUAAGUCAGUUGUGAAAGGCUGCGGCUCAACCGCAGCACUGCAGUUGAUACUGGUUUCCUUGAGUGCGGUUGAGGUGUAUGGAAUUCGUGGUGUAGCGGUGAAAUGCUUAGAUAUCACGAAGAACUCCGAUUG